RNAcentral lists this long non-coding RNA (266 nucleotides) under Mytilus galloprovincialis (Mediterranean mussel). Lineage: Eukaryota; Metazoa; Mollusca; Bivalvia; Mytilida; Mytilidae. The record is from RNAcentral.
CUCCAUUUUAAUGCAAAACCUUUUACAUUUUUAUUUUAUGGGUUAUUGUUGAAGGUCGUACGAUGACGUAUGGUUGUUAACACAUACUUCCUUUGGUUUCUUAUGGAAAGUCCAUUGACAACAAACAUACCACAUCAUCUACUUUAUAUAAGUAUUGUAUAAAUUACAACGUAUUUUGGUGAUCUUGCAAAAUGAUCGUAAUCCCGAAAAUCGUAAACAUAUUUUCUUAUCUUAAAAGGGGACAAGAAGGGUUCCAUAAACAGGCC